CCAGAUGGCCGGAUGGUCGCUUUGCCCCGUACGGGGUCGAGAGGAAAGUCCGGGCUCCACGGAAACACGGUGCCGGAUAACGUCCGGCGGGGGCGACCCUAGGGAAAGUGCCACAGAAAGCAAACCGCCAGGCCUGCGGGACUGGUAAGGGUGAAAGGGUGCGGUAAGAGCGCACCGCGACCUUGGCAACAAGGGCGGCACGGUAAACCCCACCGGGAGCAAAACCAAAUAGGGACGGCACGCUUUCGCAAGAAAGCAGGCAGGUUUUCGGGCUGCCGUCCGGGUCGGUUGCUAGAGGCGUUCGGUAACGGGCGUCCCAGAUGAAUGACCAUCCAGCGUCCAUUUACGGAUGGAUGCGGACAGAACCCGGCUUACAGGCCAUCUGGCGGC
This 390-nucleotide RNase P RNA is filed under the name Insolitispirillum peregrinum. RNAcentral's name for it is "Insolitospirillum peregrinum Bacterial RNase P class A". It matches the Rfam family "Bacterial RNase P class A". Rfam says of the family: Ribonuclease P (RNase P) is a ubiquitous endoribonuclease, found in archaea, bacteria and eukarya as well as chloroplasts and mitochondria. Its best characterised activity is the generation of mature 5'-ends of tRNAs by cleaving the 5'-leader elements of precursor-tRNAs. The record is from Rfam by way of RNAcentral. Lineage: Bacteria; Pseudomonadati; Pseudomonadota; Alphaproteobacteria; Rhodospirillales; Novispirillaceae.